RNAcentral lists this ribosomal RNA (274 nucleotides) under uncultured bacterium. RNAcentral describes it as "partial 16S ribosomal RNA". It matches the Rfam family "Bacterial small subunit ribosomal RNA", at positions 523 to 796 of the family's 1533-position model. The record is from RNAcentral.
AUACGGAGGGUGCGAGCGUUAAUCGGAAUUACUGGGCGUAAAGCGUACGUAGGCGGUUGGUUAAGUUAGAUGUGAAAGCCCCGGGCUUAACCUGGGAACUGCAUUUAAAACUGGCGAACUAGAGUUGAGUAGAGGGGAGUGGAAUUUCAGGUGUAGCGGUGAAAUGCGUAGAGAUCUGAAGGAACACCAGUGGCGAAGGCGACUCCCUGGACUCGAACUGACGCUGAGGUACGAAAGCGUGGGUAGCAAACGGAAUUAGAAACCCUAGUAGUCC